RNAcentral lists this unclassified non-coding RNA (25 nucleotides) under Mus musculus (house mouse). Its description in RNAcentral is "oocyte_clustered_small_RNA2907". Lineage: Eukaryota; Metazoa; Chordata; Mammalia; Rodentia; Muridae. The record is from RNAcentral.
ACAGGUAAUGUCUCCUGGGCCAGUU